GUCCACGCUGUAAACGAUGGGCACUAGGUGUGGGGGGUUUUUAAUCCCUCCGUGCCGCAGCUAACGCAUUAAGUGCCCCGCCUGGGGAGUACGGCCGCAAGGUUAAAACUCAAAGGAAUUGACGGGGGCCCGCACAAGCGGUGGAGCAUGUGGUUUAAUUCGACGCAACGCGAAGAACCUUACCUGGGUUUGACAUGUGGGGAAUCUAACGGAAACGUGGGAGUGCGUAGCAAUACGAGCCCCAGCACAGGUGCUGCAUGGCUGUCGU
This 268-nucleotide ribosomal RNA is filed under the name uncultured bacterium. Its description in RNAcentral is "partial 16S ribosomal RNA". It matches the Rfam family "Bacterial small subunit ribosomal RNA", at positions 793 to 1055 of the family's 1533-position model. The record is from RNAcentral.